AUUGAACGCUGGCGGCAGGCCUAACACAUGCAAGUCGAACGAGUGGCGGACGGGUGAGUAAGGUCUGGGAAACUGCCUGGGGGAGGGGGAUAACUACCGGAAACGGUAGCUAAUAACGCAUACCAUCGGAUGUGCCCAGAUGGGAUUAGCUUGUGGGUGGGGUAACGGCUCACCAAGGCGACGAACCCUAGCGGGUCUGAGAGGAGGACCAGGCACACUGGAACUGAGACACGGUCCAGACUCCUACGGGAGGCAGCAGUGGGGAAUAUUGCACAAUGGGCGAAAGCCUGAUGCAGCCAUGCCGCGUGUAUGAAGAAGGCCUUCGGGUUGUAAAGUACUUUCAGCGGGGAGGCGUUACCCGCAGAAGAAGCACCGGCUAACUCCGUGCCAGCAGCCGCGGUAAUUC
Molecule: ribosomal RNA, 406 nt
Filed under: uncultured bacterium
Lineage: Bacteria
Description: partial 16S ribosomal RNA
Rfam family: Bacterial small subunit ribosomal RNA
Source: RNAcentral